GUGGCGGCCUGGGACGCGGCCGGGGACGUGGUCGCCCUGAAGGGGCCACGGCAUCGCGCGGUGCUGGCCCGGCUGAUCGUCGCCCGCCGCCGCG
This 94-nucleotide transfer RNA is filed under the name Microtetraspora sp. NBRC 13810. RNAcentral's name for it is "tRNA-Phe". The record is from RNAcentral. Lineage: Bacteria; Bacillati; Actinomycetota; Actinomycetes; Streptosporangiales; Streptosporangiaceae.